This 429-nucleotide ribosomal RNA is filed under the name bacterium. RNAcentral's name for it is "partial 16S ribosomal RNA". It matches the Rfam family "Bacterial small subunit ribosomal RNA", at positions 355 to 776 of the family's 1533-position model. The record is from RNAcentral.
UGGGGUAUUUUGGACAAUGGGCGAAAGCCUGAUCCAGCAAUGCCGCGUGCAGGAUGAAGGCCUUCGGGUUGUAAACUGCUUUUGUACGGAACGAAAAAGCUCCUUCUAAUACAGGGGGCCCAUGACGGUACCGUAAGAAUAAGCACCGGCUAACUACGUGCCAGCAGCCGCGGUAAUACGUAGGGUGCGAGCGUUAAUCGGAAUUACUGGGCGUAAAGCGUGCGCAGGCGGUUAUGUAAGACAGAUGAGAAAUCCCCGGGCUCAACCUGGGAACUGCAUUUGUGACUGCAUGGCUAGAGUACGGUAGAGGGGGAUGGAAUUCCGCGUGUAGCAGUGAAAUGCGUAGAUAUGCGGAGGAACACCGAUGGCGAAGGCAAUCCCCUGGACCUGUACGGACGCUCAUGCACGAAAGCGUGGGGAGCAAACAGG